This is a long non-coding RNA of Gambusia affinis (western mosquitofish), 620 nucleotides long. RefSeq lists it as uncharacterized. The transcript has 3 exons. Lineage: Eukaryota; Metazoa; Chordata; Actinopteri; Cyprinodontiformes; Poeciliidae. The record is from RefSeq and is a predicted model, not a curated record.
UUCCACACAAAGUAUCAGGCUGCGGCGUACCAUCUACAAACAAACAAGGAGAACACCCAGGCAGAGGUUGAAGUGCUCGAUUGCAAAGAUGGCAAGCUUUAGGUGAACUUGCCCUAUUGACCCUGUCUCUGCUUGCAAUGCCUUUAAGCAACGCUGAUGUAGUUGUACUAACAAAUGAACCUGGUCAAAUCCAAACCGAGGAACGGAAUGGGGAAGGACACACUCACCAACACACUCCUCAUAAAAUAUGGACGGAAGAGGGAAAGUUUGGGCUUCAAGGAUUUUUGUUCCAAGCAAGGAGAAGUUGGAGGGUUUUAACAAUCACUCUGUGGGAGGAACAUUUGGAAGCACAGAGACAGAUCCAAACGAAAACAGUGAGGAUGGACGGUAGUUCAGAAGAACAGACCUGACGGGGAAGCAAGGACAAGGUAAUUUCCUGUGGCUCCCCUUACAACUGUCCGAAUGGAACUAAUGGGAGAAGGCAUUAGAGGACAUAAACAAGAGCACAUCAGCCUGUCGGCUCGUCCACCACCAACGUCUCACUGUAGAGUACAGUACCCGUCCAUCUCCCCCGCCCGGCUCCGAGAGCGGUUUGCAGGAAAUGUCAGCCGGUGUGAUUG